AUGUUGUCUUGCAGGGGCGGAGAAAGCUUAACCCUAGCCCCUCAAUUUUGCCACCGUCUCUCUCGAUUCCUUCCAUCCAGUUCCGAACCCUUCUUCCCCUUCUCCCCCAUGGCUGCCGCCAAUUGGAAUCCGCCUACCCUUCCCGAGUGCGACGGUUACGACGCCGCCGUCCUCCUCGACACGCGGUGCUACAUAGCCGAUCUUCACAACUGCACCACCGCCUGGGGCACCACGAGCAGAGGCUCCCCGAUCCAGGUGACCUUCUGCGCCGCCCGCCCGCCUCUCCUCUCCCACUUUUGCGUCCGCUGCCCCGACCUGGACUUCCUCCGCUCAAAGCCUAUAGUCGUCGCCACCGACGCCGACCUCGUGCUCCUCCGCGUCCCCAUCGACCUCAAGGCGCCCCUUGAUGCACGGUCCUGGGACUACUUCGUAUACAAGCCGCAAGCCCAUCAGCUGGACCUGCUCCCGAACCCGCACCCCAUGAGCUUCCACGACUCUGCGACCGCCCUCCUCAGCCGCGAAGACGGCGCCUGGUACGCCGUCGCCGCCAUCAGCAGUUGGUGCCCAGUGUACGAGAGCAAUGGUGACUCGAUCAUUAGGUGGGAUUUCCGCCUCCACCUGUACCGCUCCUCCGAUUCCAAGGGUUGGACCACCACACCUGUGUCAGUGGAGGAGCUUGUGAGGGACAAGCUUGUCCCGUUGCCUUGCGAUGUGGAGGCUGAGAUGAUGUAUCACAAGACGGCCAAGACUCUCCCAAUUGGUGGUGAGCGUGGUACUGUAGCCUGGGUGGACCUCUGGCGUGGCAUCCUCCUCUGUGAUGUACUCGGGGAGCGACCAGUGUUCCAAGACAUCCCACUACCUGUACCUGCAAGGGGAAACUGGGGUCGUCUCCUCGAGCAAUGUGAGCCCAACUAUGUCCGUGAUGUUGCCAUCACUCGGCACAAAGACACUAUCAAGUACAUUGAGAUGGAAACCUGGCCACCAAGAAAGUUGAUGAAGACCCCUGAUUCCUAUUCGGAAUGGGUGCGCUCUAAGUCAAGCAUCACUCAGGUGAUCCCUGGUGGAUGGAAGGCCACAACAUGGAGCAUGCCAAUACCAGUUGGGUCAUUCACUGAUUGGCAGCUUGACUGUCGAGUUGAAGCCAAUGAUGUUAGCAUGGAUACCAGCAACCCGCAUCAGUGCAACCUGCUGUCUAGGCUGAGCGGCAGCAACACCGUGCCAAUAUUGCCGAAACUUCUGAUGGCAUACCCUACUAUCAGCAUAGAUGAUGAUAUUGUCUACUUUAUUUAUACUACCAAACCCAGGCACAUGGGAAAAUUGGAGUUGGUGAUUGCUGUCGAUGUGAGGAACAAAGCCCUCCGAGGAGUAGCCGAGCUUGAUGCCCAGAAGAAGUUCAUUAGCGUGCCUGCCUUUUGCACCUGUAAGAUCUGCAAAUAUCCGAGGAAGAAUACAGGCACAGCAGUAGAGCUUAAACGAACUGAAAAAGAAGCUGUUAAGCGAACUGACAAAGAUCUUGGAACUGGUAAACCAACUAGGGUGCAUGUGAAGGAACCAACCCGCACAAGGCCGCCUGUGAAUAAGAGGGUAUUGAAGACCUUGGAGUUGCUACAAGCGAGAUCCUGGAGCUGCCCAAGGAGACUUGGUGAACAGACGCCCGAUGCUGAAAUUGCUAUCAAGUACUCCCUCCGUUCUAAAAUAGAUGACCUAACUUUAUACUAA
RNAcentral lists this ribosomal RNA (1719 nucleotides) under Triticum aestivum (bread wheat). RNAcentral's name for it is "partial small subunit ribosomal RNA". Lineage: Eukaryota; Viridiplantae; Streptophyta; Magnoliopsida; Poales; Poaceae. The record is from RNAcentral.